This 614-nucleotide ribosomal RNA is filed under the name uncultured bacterium. Its description in RNAcentral is "bacterial SSU rRNA". It matches the Rfam family "Bacterial small subunit ribosomal RNA", at positions 789 to 1398 of the family's 1533-position model. The record is from RNAcentral.
GGUAGUCCAUGCCCUAAACGAUGGAUACUAGAUAUCGGAGGAAUCAAAUCUUCCGGUGUCGAAGCUAACGCAUUAAGUAUCCCACCUGGGGAGUACGGUCGCAAGUCUGAAACUCAAAGAAAUUGACGGGGGCCCGCACAAGCGGUGGAGCAUGUGGUUCAAUUCGAUGGUACGCGAGGAACCUUACCUGGGCUUGACAUGGGGGUGACCGGCGCAGAGAUGUGCCUUUUUCGCAAGAAACACCCUACACAGGUGCUGCAUGGCUGUCGUCAGCUCGUGUCGUGAGAUGUUGGGUUAAGUCCCGCAACGAGCGCAACCCUUGUUCUGUGUUACCAGCAAGUAAUGUUGGGGACUCACAGAAGACUGCCUCAUUUUAAGAGGAGGAAGGUGGGGAUGACGUCAAGUCCUCAUGGCUCUUACGUCCAGGGCUACACACGUGCUACAAUGGUUGGUACAAAGAGUCGCAAUGCCGCGAGGUGGAGCUAAUCUCAAAAAGCCAAUCUCAGUUCGGAUUGGAGUCUGCAACUCGACUCCAUGAAGCUGGAAUCGCUAGUAAUCGCGCAUCAGCUACGGCGCGGUGAAUACGUUAUCGGGCCUUGUACACACCGCCCGUC